This 740-nucleotide ribosomal RNA is filed under the name uncultured bacterium. RNAcentral's name for it is "bacterial SSU rRNA". It matches the Rfam family "Bacterial small subunit ribosomal RNA", at positions 8 to 796 of the family's 1533-position model. The record is from RNAcentral.
AGAGUUUGAUCCUGGCUCAGAACGAACGCUGGCGGCAGGCUUAACACAUGCAAGUCGAACGCACCGCAAGGUGAGUGGCAGACGGGUGAGUAACGCGUGGGAACGUGCCCUUCAGUUCGGAAUAACCCAGGGAAACUUGGGCUAAUACCGGAUACGUGCGAGAGCAGAAAGAUUUAUCGCUGAAGGAUCGGCCCGCGUCUGAUUAGCUGGUUGGUAGGGUAAUGGCCUACCAAGGCGACGAUCAGUAGCUGGUCUGAGAGGAUGAUCAGCCACAUUGGGACUGAGACACGGCCCAAACUCCUACGGGAGGCAGCAGUGGGGAAUAUUGGACAAUGGGCGCAAGCCUGAUCCAGCCAUGCCGCGUGAGUGAUGAAGGCCUUAGGGUUGUAAAGCUCUUUCGUCCGGGACGAUAAUGACGGUACCGGAAGAAGAAGCCCCGGCUAACUUCGUGCCAGCAGCCGCGGUAAUACGAAGGGGGCUAGCGUUGUUCGGAAUCACUGGGCGUAAAGGGCGCGUAGGCGGCCUGAUAAGUCGGGGGUGAAAGCCUGUGGCUCAACCACAGAAUUGCCUUCGAUACUGUUGGGCUUGAGACCGGAAGAGGUAAGUGGAACUGCGAGUGUAGAGGUGAAAUUCGUAGAUAUUCGCAAGAACACCAGUGGCGAAGGCGGCUUACUGGUCCGGUUCUGNNGCUGAGNNGCGAAAGCGUGGGGAGCAAACAGGAUUAGAUACCCUAGUAGUCC